AAAAUAAAGAUAGGCCCAAUUUAAUGGUUUGUAUUGAAUCAAAAAUCACAAUUCAAUUGUAAUUUCAAAUCGAAAUCUACAAAGUGCAAACCCUAUCUCAAUUCUCAAUCCCUCUCCAUUCAGCCCCUGCACUGUGGUGAUGUGACCUGCUUCUGGCUGUCGAUGAGUCACCUUCGAUGCCUAGCCUCUCCGAUCUCCAUCUUUAGAAUGCAUUGUUGUUGUGAGUCUGCUAUCUCUUUCUCUUUUCUUUUUUCUGGUUUUUGUUCUUUUAGAAUUUAGUUCAUUUUCUGAUUUAUUAUUUAUCAAUUAUAUUUAAUGUUUUAUGAGUUCUGACUAUGUCUGUGAGCAUGUUAACUGUGAGAUUUUUGUGAAUUUGAGAAUUGGAAAUUUUGUAAAAUUCGAAAAUUUGAGAAAAUAGUGGAUUUUGCUACUGACUGCUCAUGUUUAUUAUUUACAAAAAUUGGGAUUUUGUGAAUUUAAGAAUAUUUGAUAUCCGUGGAUUGUGAAUUUGAUUUGUGACAAAUGAAAAUGGUAUAUGGUUUUUAUGUCUUAGUGCAUUUACAUAUAUAUUUAAGAAUUUUUAAUAUUUGUAACUACUUAUUAAUAAAAGAUCUUACUAUUACAAUCAUUGACGGUUAAUGAUUGUCCUAAUUGACCUACAAUCAUGAAUCCGCCACUGGGGCUAGAGUAGCAUAGAUAGGCCGUUUUGGUAAAAUAUGAAUAAAUUGAUGUGUAUGUCUUAAAAAUUUGUGGAUCAAAGUUACUUGAGGGUUUAAGGGUGAAAUUAAAAAUAAAAUAAAGUAAAUUUGAAGAUGUUAUACUAAUAUCUCUAAACUAGUCUUUUUGACAUUGUUUAGAAACAAAUAUACAUGUUGCGAUUGCCACUCGAUGAGAGGGGAUAGUCGAUUAAUUAUAGAUUUUCGUUCAUCUUGCAAUGAAGUUUUACCUAUAACUCGUGACAAGUAAAAUUAUUUACUCUUGAUAAUAUGUAAAAAUUAGUAGGAACUUAAGAUAAAGAAUUUAUAUUUCUGUCUAUUUUCUUUCUAAUUUAAUUAACAUACCCUUUUAUCAUCUAUUGUUGUACAUAUGAAGUUAAAUUCAUCUGAUUUUUCACUAAUAUAUCACAUAAUUAAUAUAAAACACAGAAGAAAUUAAAUGAUUAUUGCACAAAAAAUAUUUAUAUGAAGGCUCGGGAGAUAUUUCUAUUUCUUUAUGUUUCAUUAAUAAAGUUUAUUAUUAGACUUUUGGGAUAACUGCAGCAGCGAUUUCUAAUCGUUCGAUUUUUUUGUGAACUUUAUCUUAACUUUCAAUUUGUGCCACCAGAUAUCCCAAACUUCGAAAAAUUCGUACCUGGAGUCUAAAAUGACAAAAAAAAAAAAACUUAAAUUCUUCCGUUAGUUGUCCUGAAAAGGGGAAAAUUGGAUAUUUUGACCAAUUUAAACGAGGGCAUUUUUGUUAGACACAUGUUUUCUCUAUUAAAAAUCAAAUGUAUCAGUUAUAUCAUCUUUCCAUUGCCAUCUCUUUUGCAGUACAAGAGAAGAUCAUCAUCUUCUACAAUGUUUUCUAAAUAAACUCAUGAAUUUGAUGAAAAUCCAUCAAAUUUUACUUCUCAUACACGAUGUGCUCUUCCUGAACCCAGGUACGGUGAGUAAUUUCAUGCUUCAAAAUUUUUUGUUGUAGUCUUAUUUGUUAACUAGUGGUUUGGGAAGUGUCAUCCUUUAGUACAAAAGUCCAUGUUUUUUAAAAUUUUAUUAAGUUGGAAUUGCAUAAAGUGCACAAUCGCUAUGGGCACUGCAUUUACAUUCAUAUGCAAAGCCGGUCCUGACAAUUCAGAGGCCCUAAGCGAGUCGGCAAUCUUGAGGCCCCGUACUUUGUUUUUCUACAUGUAUAGCAAUAUUUAAAUAAUAAAAAAUCUAUAUUUAAAUGAAAACUUUAUACAAUCUAAAAGAUAGAAUUGCUAAAUAAAAUAUCACUUACAAUCCGAGAGAUUAAGCUAACUUCAUAUUUAGUCUUCUCACAUUUUGAGAUGCAAAAUUAGUAAUCAACAAUUCAAAUCAAGUUUUUCAAACAUUUUUUUUUUCAAUAGAAAUCAUAGCUAACAUUCAAUCUCUCUUGUUACAUAGUUGAUCGAAGAUUGGACUUAAUCAAUUUUAACUUUUAAAAACUUCUUUCAGCAGAGACAACAGUGACUGGGAUAGUCAUAUUAUCCUAUAAGCAACCCAAGCAUUUGCAAACAACAAUUCAUUCUCUUAAUGUAAUCUAACACAUCAGCUGCUCCAUUUAUUUUUGUAGAUAUUGCUUCCCUUAAAACUUUCAACUCAAAAAACAAUUACAUUCCAUCGAUAUCGGAUAUUGUGUUAUGCUUCAAAUAAUUUUCAAGAUUAAUGCAACAACACUUCAUUUUAGCAUCAUCAAUGGAUUUAAGCUUUUCCAAAUCAAAUAAAAAUCCAUAAAUAUCAUCAUAUUCCUGAAAUUGUUCAAAUCUAUUUUGAAGCAAUGAUAGAGCUUAAUCUACUAUAUAUAAGAAAUAAUUUACCCUGAAAGAGUCUUCAACUGUUUCUGUCAUCUCUUCACAAGAAAUCUCAUCAAACUGCUUCUUUCUACGUAUAACUCUUUUUUCAUGAAAUAUCGGUUCAAUGUUUAAUUCACUUGCAAUCUCUUUAGCAUCAAUCACAGUAGAUUCAAACCCAGUUUCUCUAUAGCUUUUGAAAAAUGAAAUGAGCCCUUUUAAAUGAUCUAUAGCAACGUCAAUAUGGUUGUCCUCUGUUUGCAAAUGUUUGCUUACUCUAUUGACAUUAUUCAAUACUUCAUACCAAAUAACCAUUCCAAGUAAGAAUUCAAAAUUCUCCAUUUCAUAUGUUGCCAAACACUCUGCCUCACUUUUUGUCUUAGGAUCAUCCACUCUUGCCAAUUCAAGUAGAGCAUUUCUUAUUUGUGGAGCUUGAAAUCUUAUUGCUCUAACACUUUCAACGUGACUUUUCCAACAUGUUUGAGACAAAGGCUUAAGAGUAAGGCCAUUUACAUUAUCUUUAAAAAAUUUCCAUCUUUUAGUAGAUGAUGAAAAUAGAGUAUAUAUACGUUGCACCACUCCAAAGAAAGAUUUAGCUUUUAUACAACAACUAGUCAUAUCACAAAGUGUAAGAUUGAGACUAUGACACCCACAAGGAGUAUAAAAUGCUCUAGGAUUUACUUGUAGUAGUCUUUUCUGUAUCCUUUUAUGCUUUUAUUUCAUGUUAGUACUGUUAUCAUAUCCUUAACCCCUUAUAUUAUCUAUAUCAAGCUCUAGAUUAUUCAACGCAUUCACUAAUUCAUCAAAUAGUUCCUUUUCAGAUGUAUCAUCCACCAAUAAAAAUCCUAAAAGAAUUAUUCUACCUUCACUGGACUUGCUGAAAUAUCAACACACCUCAAUACUAUAGAAUAUGUUCUUCGUGACUCAAAUCUAGAGCGCAAUCAAGUAUUACAGAAAAGUACUUGGAUUCUUUUAGUUUCUCAAUGAUCAUUUUCUUGAUCUCACCUGCUAGCAUAAGUAUCAAUUCAUUUUGAAUUUUGUGUCCAAGAUAAUGAUAAUAAAUUUCUUUAUUUUGAAUUCAACGAAUAUGUUCUUGCAUUACAAGAUCAAACUCAAAAUCAUUUGAAUUAAGUUUAAGAAGAUACCAUUAUUUUCUUGGUAUAUCUUUUCAUUAUCUCCAUGAAACGCCAAAUUAUUUUCUGUAAGAGUUCUAACCAUGGAUAUUAUUCUCAAUAAUACUUGUCUCCAAUAUUCUCUAUCCUUAUUGAUUUGUUCUGCACACUUUUAUCAAUUGUUCGUUUCUUUUGAAAUCUUAUUUCCAUUUCGAUCCAUCUACUCAUGUUAGUAAUAUGGUCAUAACUCACUUCAUGUGUUCUUAGUUUUUCACCAAUAUUUUUCCAAUCAUUCGCACCAUCAUGUGCCAAUUGAGUUUGAACCCCAUCAUUCUUGAAUAACUUAAAACAGAAACAAAAUAAUUUGUCCAAACUUUUUGAAUAUAUCAACCACUUUCUAUCAUGAUUCUCUCCAUUGGAUAAUCGUCGAGUGUAAUGAACAGAGAAGAAGUGUCGAUUAGCUAUAUCUUUUGGAAAAAUUACAUCAUUAUCUCUUACUGGACCUUUCAUUACAAUUAAAUUUCUUAAAUUCUGAUUCAUAUUUUUUCAAUUCACUGGAUCACUAAUAUUAAAGGAGAAUGGUUCACUAAUCUUUUCAUUGAUGUUUCUUUCAUUCAUAACAUCAUCCUCGAUAGAUAUCUCUUCAUUCACCAAACAAUGAUGUUUUUCAAUUGUAUUAUCGUCGAUAUCAUUCUUAUCAAACUUUUCUUCGGGAAAUAAAUCGUCAUUAUGUUUUUGUUUACUGCCACUAAAAAAUUUAUCAAUUGCUCCUUUUUGAGAUUUAAUCAACUGUUCAACCUUUUUAUGCCGUUUUCUUUUAGAAUAUCUAGAUUCAAAUUUUAUAGUGAACAUAAUUAAAGCAAAUAAAUGUUAAACCUGAUUCAAAGUUCAAAUUAAAAUAUCCCAGAUUUCCAAAUAUGUCAAGUGUAGGAGUUCAACAAUCAACCUGCAAGAAAUAACCAAAUAACAUUUAAAAAAUUAAAAUACACUUGAGAAAUACCAACAUAAAUGAUGAAAAAAAUGCAUUGUUUCUUGAAGUGCAUCAUAUGGAAUUUUGGGGAACAAAUUACAAACCUAACCUAGGGUUCACUCUGACUUUUAAAAUUUAUCAAAAUUUCAAUUAAAAGUAAAACAAAUAAACAAGUAAACAACAAUCUGUAAAGCCAAAUUCACUUGGCUUAAAUAAGUAAACAACAACCUGUAAAGGUAAAGCUUCACAUCAAGUGAUGCAAGCUCAAAUAUGGUCGAUAUUCAUGUUUCAACCCUUUUCCAAUCUCUUCGCAAUGAAAAAAAAUUACCCCCAUAUUAAUUCAGGGAUCCAAUUAUUCUUGAAAUUACCCUCAGUGCAUGUUUACUAUUCAAUGCUAGACAUGAUUGUGUUUAAAUUUAUACAUUGAAUAGCAAGAAUAGGAGGAUACAUUGUCCGGGGAUCAGGGACCUGGGGAUGCAUCAUUGCUUGACAUUGCUACCACAAAGAAUAUGCAAACACUUAUUCAAUUUGGAGACAGUUUGUUGAAGUCUUGAAGUAGCCAGUUUCAAGGGUGAAUUUCGAAACCAGUCAACCCAAGCCAGUUCAAGGAGAGGGUAAAUGUAGAAGCUCUUAGUCGCAGCAUCACCAAUUCACUAUUCCAAUAUUCCUCACUAAAGCUAAUACUGAUAGAUAGAACUAAUUAUUAAGAGUAAUUGAGUAAAACAAAUAAUAAAAAAAAACCCUAUUUUUCAUCCCCUUUUCACCAUUAAAAAUUUGAAAUUUUGAACAGAGUAAACUACCACCACAGGAUUAAUAAUCACUAAUGACUAAUCAUACAUAUAAGCUGCUUACCAAAACCAAGGACAUGAUAGAUAUAAAGAAGGAAUUCGCCAGGCCGACGUGCAAUUGUGCGAGUCUGCGAGUGCGAGAGGAGGAAAAAUCGAGGUUUUUUGCGGUUGAUUUCGAAUUUUCAUUCGUACGCACUGGUCCCUGGAACUGGAAGCCUAGAAGCCUUGGAGAAUUUUGGAUUCUUCAAUUGGAAGCACUGAACCGAAAGCAGAUGAUUGAGAAUUUCUGAAUUUGAGAGGAAGAAUUCUUGAAUUGAAAAAAUACACAGCCCAAAAGAAAUUAGGUCAGUUCGGUAGUGUCGGGUUGUGUAUGUUAGUAUGUAGACUCCAAAGCCCAAAGGAAAUUAGGUAUCAUUGGUCCAAGACUCCAACCCAAAGGCCCCAAACCAUUUUUUCAUUUUGGAAUUAAUGUGGAUUUUGAGGCCCUGGGCCCAAGCCAAAAAUUGGAAGCCCUACACGGUUGCCUAGGUGGCUUGGCCCAAGGGCCGGCCCUGUUCAUAUGAAUAAACUAGGGUUUCGACUUGAUGAUCAUUUGUUUUGAAUUUGUUUUCUAGGAAAAAAAUCAACUUAUUUUACCAUAAAGCUAUACCAUAGCAGUCUAUCAUUUGCAAAGAUUCGAAGUUUUGUACAUGAGCAUGUUAAGAUAGCUUAUCUAGAUUAUAUGCGCACUAAUUGGUUUAAUAGGUUUCUUCUGGACAAUGUCAUAAAGAUACCGGGGUAUUUUGAGAAAAUGAGGUAUUUUUUUUAAGGUCAAAAAGAAGAGAUUGAGUGAGAUAUCGUUCACUUCUGUUUGGUAAUCGAUGCAGGCUUUACAAAUUAGUGAAGUUGCUUGGUGGGAAGAGGAUUGUUGAGUUGCGGUAUUUGCCUGUAGUUGAAGUGUUGUAAUUUCCAUGUAAUUACAAAGUAGGGAAUAAUAUUUCAAUUUUUUAUAUUGACACUUGUGAGGUUUUAGAGGAGGUGGAAGAAAUACGAAAAGCAGAUGUUGACAAACAAGUUGAGCAGAAUGCAUGCUAAGCUAUGGAUGUUUUUGAUGAGUGCAUAGAGAGUGAUGAUUUGUAUGUUGUGGAUGAAAUUGAUAGUGUAAGUGCAAAUGAUAAAAUGGAAGUAGAUGUAGAGUGUGGUGAAGCCCAGUUAGAGGAAAAUGCAUAUGAAGUUCAAUUAUAGGCAAAUACAAAUGAAAAUGCCAAGGUUAGGACGGAACAAAAAUGAGGGACCUAUGGGGAGUGAAGUAAAUGAGGAGCCCAUUGAUGAUAUACUUGCCUACAAAGUUAAGGUAGAGGCUAAAAUAGAUAAAGUAGCUGAGGUUAGGGCAGAACAAAAUGAUCAACUUGCAUGUGAACCUUCAGUGGUUGAAAAAUAUAUACAAGAUGAGGAACUUGUAGGUGAAUAAACUGAGUGCAGGGCUUGGAAAUUCACCACCUAUUGAUGAAAAUGUGGAGCUUGCAAUCGAUGAAACAAAUCAGUAAAUGCAUGAUGCACCCCUUGUUGAUGAAAGUGUGGAGCCUGCAAUUUAUGAACCAGGUCAGCAUGUACACGAUACAUCCCUUGCUGAUGAAAUGUGGAGCAUAUUGGGGCUGCAUAACCAACUGGGAAAUAUGAAUAUGAAAAAAGCCUACUAGAGGAGUUUAGUGAUCCAGAAUAUGAGUAGGAAGAAGAUGUACUUGUAGAUAAUCGUGCUGCAGAUACAUUCUUUAGGUUGGGUGAGGGUUUUAAUAUUGGUGAUUAAAAUGAGGGCUCAACAUGAGGGUCAUGCAGGUGGUGGAGAUGGUGAUGAAAUAGACUAUGAUGACUCAGAUGAUCUUAGAAGCAGUCUGCGUGAAUAAAGAAGAAUGUUCCUCUUCUAGAGCCAGGAAUGAGCCUUGAUUUAAUCCUCCAGUUGACUUAGUAUGAAAAUCUCAAAGCAUCAAUUUGAUAGGACAAGAGCUAAAUUUGGAAAAGUUGUCAAUGGAAUUAUAGUUGAACACUACAAGAUCUUGUGGCUAUAGUGAGAAAUAAAAUAAAAUAAAAAACUAAUCCUAGUAGUACAUUGCAAAUUGAAAAGAACUAAUCCUAUGUGAGACAUUCAACUCUUCCAUAAUUGUUGCAAGAGAAAAUCCUAUUAUCUCAUUAUUGGAGAAUACCAGACAUCAACAAAAUGAUGAGGAUGAAUACCAAAAGGAAAUCAGCACAAAGAUGGGAUCUAGCAUUUGGUCUUAGAAUUAUGAGUAUCACUUAGAAAGCUAAGGCAGAUGCAAGGUACUUAAAUGUAGACUAUGAUGUUAGUGAAAAAUUUAAGAUCAGCAAUAGGGAUGGAUUGAGAUGGACUGUGAACUUGAUGAAACGUGAAUGUCCAUAUAGAAAAUGGCAACUUACUAGAAUACCAUGUGCUUAUGCAAUCUCUAGUAUUGUUACCAAGGAACAUUGGCAUAAAUGAGUAUAUUGAUGUAUGCUACAGUAAAGAAGCUUGCCCGAGGACAUAUAGCCCAGUCAUACAACCAAUUUCAGGUUUUGAGUUAUAGCCAGAGCUAGAAAACUAUCCUUUAAAUCCACUCGUGAAGAAGAAAUAGACACGUAGAUCCAAUAAGAUGAGAAAAAGGUCCCAAGUUAAGCCACCCGCGAGAACUAAAAUGGCAAUGAUAGGUGUGAAGAUGACAUGUAAAAGAUACGAAAAAGUCAAGCUAUAACAAGAGAACACGCAAAGUUACCUUGCCUACAGAUGCAAAUUUACAACUAAGUUUACAAGCAGAUACACAGCAGGAUACAUAGCUAGUUGCAUCACAGGGCAAGCGAAAUGCAUUUGCAUUUAAUAAAGCACAUGUAAAGACGAAUAAAUCCAGGAGAAAAGAACAUAGAUUUUAGUAAUGAACUUUUUGUGUGAUGAAUGUGUUGUAUCAUGAAAUUUUGAUGAUGUACAAAUGAAUAUUCCAAUAGAGAGAGAGAAUUUAACUUCUUUUUGUUUAGCGACUAUUUUACUUUGAAUUGUGUCCUGUCUAAAUUGGAAGUGAAACGGGUCGGUUUGGAAUUGAUCAUAAUUAACUGAAACUAUUUCUUACAUAUUUAAAAAAGGUUUGUAGACCUAUGAUGCAAUUGGUUUGAAAGGUUGGGACCUAUGCUGCAACUAAUUUAAAAGGUUUGGAAACUAUUCUUCAACUUAUUAAAAGGUUUGGGACUUGCACUGCACCACAUACAAAAUGUUUCAGAAAAACAAUUUCCCUUGUAUUUUGAAUCAUUUACUCAGUACAGAAAGGGAAAUUGUAAACAAAACAAAAUAGGGCAACCCUGCUGAUUAAUAAGAUAUUUUAUUACUAGAAAAUAAGUUAUAAGGCCACAGACAACACACACUUCCUCACUUAGAAACCUAUAUCCCAAAACACAAACCUAACAUUUGAGCUCAAAUAUAACCUACCCAUUUCACGAAAACUUUACAUACAAAUCCAAAGAGCCAAGUUUUCUACUCACUAUGGCUUUUUAAACGAAGAAUAUUAAUUUCAGCUUCCAUCUCCAUCCUUACCAGUAGAAAACUCAGGGAUUAGCUCAUUGGAUCUAGCAUAUAUUGGAGGGUUGCACCAGUCAAAGAAGUUACAUUCACCUAUAUCUUGACGCUAUUGGCAAGUUAGAAAUCUUCUUCCUAAGCUCAAGUUAGUCCGUAAGGUCUUCAUCUGUAUAGGGUAACCACAUAGACAUAUUUAUUUCCAUCUUCGUGCUAAAUGUUUCUGAUAGUUAUCCGAAGAGAUGAAUAAAUGGGACAGGACAUGGCUGAAAAUAAAGAGUGAUUUGUACAGUGAAUGAGGAUAAAUUUGUGAUUGACUAGAAUGCCCGUAUUUAUAUUGGUCAAAAUAUCUAACUUUUUUCAUUUUCCAAGUCAACUAAAGGAGGAAUUUACGUUUUUCAUCAUUUUGGACUCCAUGUGUGAAAUUCUCAAAGGUUUGGGAUCUCUAAUUACACAAAUUGAAGGUUAAGGUAAAAACUGCAAAAAUGAAAUUACUAUUGCAAUUACCCAUGUAGUUUUUAUUUAGGGAUGGCAAGGGCACAAGUUCUAAGUGAUCGUCUAACAUUUUCCCGUCCCGUUACCGGGGGUGGGGGCAUUUGUCCAAUUCAUUAAAGUAAAUAAUAAUAUAGUUAUUAAAUUUUUAAUUAAUUAAUUUAUUUUUAAAAGUUAAGUUAUUCGAAUAUAGUUGGUAAACUAAGUAUUUAUUGUUUAUUAUAAUCCUUAGAUAAUUUUAGUUGUCAUUUUCUAUUAGAAUUAAUGAAAUUUCGUUGAGUUUUCCAUUUAAAGUACUAAUUUUUUUUUUAAAAAUAAAACAGUGCGGGGGCAGGGCCCCUAUUACCCUGUACCCGCCACCCGAUUACUCAAUUAAGUGGGUAAUCUCUGUCCCGUUCGGGGUGAGGCUUGCGAGUAUCAGGUAUGACGGAUUUUUUUACCAUCCCUAGUUUUAUUUAGACCGGACCAUUAGAGUCCAAAUUGGAAAUGGAUGUUUUUUUUCCAUCAUAGAGUUUAAGAUGGGUGUUUGGGAAACUUAUUUUAUAAAACCAUAAUUUCGGCCAGUUACUUAAUUGAUAUUAAUAACAUCAUGUUAUAGGUAAUUAACGAUCUAGUUGAUACCUUAAACAAGUGCAUGGCCUAUACAUAAUUAUUUAUAGAGUUGUCUAAAAUUCUCUUAAAAACCCAACAACUUCCAAACAUAACUAGAAGUGAUGUGGCACGUGUUGUAAGGUCCAGAAUUUUAUAUUUUUAAGUUGGUUGGUAUAACUCAUUUAAGAAACAAGUUAUUGAAGCUCAACCUAGUUAAGGUUAUGAAAGCUCAAAUUAUAAGUUAUUUAAAAGUCCAACAACUUAAGACAUUAAAUUUAAGUAAAUUUGAUUACAAAAAUUUAAUGAAUAGGGUUGCCACAAUAGUCAUUUACAAUUCUACAUGGUAUUUUACAUAUGCAACUUAGGUUCGAAUCACCAUGCAAAUUUUUUAUAAAAUUAUUAUUGAGUUAAAAACUUCUUAUUUCGCACAUUAAUAAGAGUAAUUAUAUCAAAUUAAUUGGAUGAAAUAAUUGUUUUAUUAAUGAGCAUUCAUAGAGAUAGAUUGCAAAUCAUAAUAAUAGUUCAUUUUCCUCUAUUUUUUUAUUAUAUAAAUGUUUUAUAAAAAAAUAUUUUUAUGAGCUUAAAACUCUCUAAAUUCCUAAUUCAAGACUCAAUUUAAGAAAGUAAAUGAUAAUAUAACUCCCUUGCAUUUAGCUUACAUUUAGUCUAUUACUAGAAGAGGAUGUUACAAGAAGAGAAAAGUCAUUUUUUUCAUUAUACCUCCCUCAAAUUCGAAUUUAAUCUUAUUUUCUCUCAAAAUAUCUUUUAUGUUAAAUUAAGUUUAAAGGAAUAUCGAGGGUAUGAAAGAGAUAAGGUUUUUACACAUUUUGUUCCUUUAAAUUUCAAGAAAAUUAAGGUAGGUAGAUGUGCAAGUGGUUAUUUCAUUUUCAAAUUAUAGUUUUUCGUUAAAAGUAUUAAUAAAUUGGUACUAUGAGUAUGAUACUUCAGCAUUGUUAUAGUUUGAAUGAACAUUUUCCGGCUCUACGUAUUAUAAUAAUUCUAUAAAAAUUGAAUUUUGUCGGAAAUCCAUUUAUGUGUGACGGUAAGAAUCUAUAGUUCGAAUUUUUUAAUUUAAUAACGAAAUACACUGAUAAUAUCUAUUGAGUUUCAAGCUCAUGAAUUAAUUCCCUUUCCACAGGUUCAUUUAAUUUGCUUGUGGCGUAGAUGAUGGUAGAUGAAAAUGUAUCGUGCCAUGGAGAAGCUGG
Molecule: long non-coding RNA, 11196 nt
Filed under: Olea europaea subsp. europaea
Lineage: Eukaryota; Viridiplantae; Streptophyta; Magnoliopsida; Lamiales; Oleaceae
Source: RNAcentral